GUCAGGUUGGCCUAGCGGUUGAAGGCGCCAGACUUAAGUUCUGGUCCACAGUCGUGGGCGUGGGUUCGAAUCCCAUACCUGACA
This 84-nucleotide transfer RNA is filed under the name Dendronephthya gigantea. RNAcentral's name for it is "tRNA-Leu". It matches the Rfam family "tRNA". Rfam says of the family: Transfer RNA (tRNA) molecules are approximately 80 nucleotides in length. Their secondary structure includes four short double-helical elements and three loops (D, anti-codon, and T loops). Further hydrogen bonds mediate the characteristic L-shaped molecular structure. tRNAs have two regions of fundamental functional importance: the anti-codon, which is responsible for specific mRNA codon recognition, and the 3' end, to which the tRNAs corresponding amino acid is attached (by aminoacyl-tRNA synthetases). tRNAs cope with the degeneracy of the genetic code in two manners: having more than one tRNA (with a specific anti-codon) for a particular amino acid; and 'wobble' base-pairing, i.e. permitting non-standard base-pairing at the 3rd anti-codon position. Lineage: Eukaryota; Metazoa; Cnidaria; Anthozoa; Malacalcyonacea; Nephtheidae. The record is from RNAcentral.